CUGAUUUUGAUUUGUAAGUCUGAAGUAUUUUCUGAGCUGACUUUUUGAGAGACCUGGAACACACUUCAAGGAAAUUUAAAAGGAAGACGAUUGGUGGGAUUGGUAAGAUGAGG
This 113-nucleotide long non-coding RNA is filed under the name Mustela putorius furo (domestic ferret). RNAcentral describes it as "lncRNA (ENSMPUG00000027476.1)". The record is from RNAcentral. Lineage: Eukaryota; Metazoa; Chordata; Mammalia; Carnivora; Mustelidae.